AUUGAACGCUGGCGGCAUGCCUUACACAUGCAAGUCGAACGGCAGCGGACCUUCGGGUGCCGGCGAGUGGCGAACGGGUGAGUAAUAUAUCGGAACGUACCUUUCAGUGGGGGAUAACGUAGCGAAAGUUACGCUAAUACCGCAUAUUCUGUGAGCAGGAAAGCAGGGGAUCGCAAGACCUUGCGCUGAUUGAGCGGCCGAUAUCAGAUUAGCUAGUUGGUGAGGUAAAGGCUCACCAAGGCGACGAUCUGUAGCGGGUCUGAGAGGAUGAUCCGCCACACUGGAACUGAGACACGGUCCAGACUCCUACGGGAGGCAGCAGUGGGGAAUUUUGGACAAUGGGCGCAAGCCUGAUCCAGCCAUGCCGCGUGAGUGAAGAAGGCCUUCGGUUGU
This 393-nucleotide ribosomal RNA is filed under the name uncultured bacterium. Its description in RNAcentral is "bacterial SSU rRNA". It matches the Rfam family "Bacterial small subunit ribosomal RNA", at positions 30 to 426 of the family's 1533-position model. The record is from RNAcentral.